CCACCACCACUAGCACUAGCACUACUAUGACCACCACUAGCACCAUCUCCACCAUCAUCAUCACCAAUCUCAGCACUGUUGUUUAGGCAAGUCACCUGAACACCCCCCACAAUGCACCUGAGCUGACUGCCUAGGGGAGCCCCUGAACCACAGCCGAGGGGCACACACGUCACAAUCUAUUGCCCAUCUGAUGGCUACUCCAGUUCGCUUGGAUGUUGUGUGUGUGAAAUUGACAAUGCCCAGAACUGGGUAGUGCACACAAAAGCCUAGUCUGGCUGGAUUUCAGGGCAGGCCCAAGAGGCAUGAUGGGUUCUGUCCCCUACAACAAAGUUCUUCCCCACCUGGUGGCCCACCUUCAGUCUGGGACCCCACCUUUCAAACUCAAUUUCUUUUGUUUAAGAUCCAGUACCUCCCAGGGGUGGCACAUUGAUGUGAACUCUGGCCUUUGCCCUUCUGUGGGGACAAUUCCACCUGCUCUUUCCCAAGCAGGGACGGGAGAGCUGAUGGCCAUGGGACCCUCCAGGUCUCACCUCCUACGCCAUCUGACUUCAGCCUGUCACCCUGGUCAGAGUGGACGCUGGCUCCUGGCCCAAGCGAGGCUUUGGAAGGAGGCCCUUUCUGAGGGGAGCUGAGCAGAUCUAGCUAACAGCAGCGUGCCCUCCUGUGCACAGAAGACCUGCAGGGAAACAGGAUUCAAAGACCGCAGGUUUCUAAGUGCUCUUGGACGAUGGCUGUUAAACCUGAACUCAGGAGGAAGAUCUCUCUCCAGGGGACUGAGAAUUCCACCUUCCAGAGCCCAGGACAAUCGUCACCCCCAGCCCGGCCAUGGAGGGAGGGCCUUGCCCAGGAUGUUAAGGUCACCUUGGAACCGUUACUCUUUAUCACAACUCACUAAAGCCACCCCAGACUCUGCACCCAGCCCUGCUCUCGGCGGGCCCUGCAACCAGCCAACGGGCGGGAGACACAGAGAGGUGUGAGCGUCCCAGCGUGGGCGUCCUCCUGCCGCUGUCAGCCCCUGCCCAUCUGAGAAGUGUCUUCCACGUGUCGGUGAGGCCUCGGGUCCAUCUGAGCAAGGGAAGUGUCCCCCCUAAGUGCUUCUGAGUGCUCUGACACCACUCUGCGGCGUAGUAUUCCUGCCUUCCUUUUUUUCUUUUCUUUUUUGUUGUGAGAUUGUUUUCCCUGCUGCAGGGACACCAGGAGAUGGUGGAUGAAUAAUGCAUUCCUCCUUCCAAGUGCACAUGUGUUUUCUGAACACCUGGGAACAGGCUGUACCCACACAGAGAGGCCUGAGAAUAAGGGUCCUGGGGAGGGAACCUAUUGACUGGGAGAAGUAUUUGCAGUGAAGGGGUUUGCACUGAUCUGGAAGUCACUGGAGGCUGCUUGGGUUUGACUUUCUCUGGGUGAGCAUCGACUUUCAUUUUCUUCUCAUGAUAACCCCUGAGGACCCAGCCUCCCUUCUCAGUGAGCCGGCUCUUCUGCCCGUGCUUCAGGCCUAUCCCCUGUGUCCCUCUGCUCUGGGUUGAUUUCUUUCCCUGCCUCCCCCUUGGCUGAGUGGAAACUCCCUGACUGGUGGCCUGUCCCCACCCCUGCCAGGGCCAGCGACGUGGUGGAGACUAAGUUCCUGCACCUACUGAGACUCCCUUUGCACCCAGCCCCGGAGACCACAGAAGAACGCUCUGUCUCCUUGCUGGCCAUGGGCCAGGGCAUGGGGCACAGUCACAGCAGCCCAGCAGAGAGGAGCCAGCUCUGUGGCAGGGCUCAGCACACAGACUGCAGCAGGAGAACCAGGAGGCGUGGGGCCCCCUCGACAGGUCCCCUCCACCAGGAGCUGCCGUGGUUAGGACCUGGGAGGUGCCCUACUGACCGUGUGUUGGUGGGCGUGGCCCCGGCUUGUGGUGUUACUGGGAGGUGUGGGAAAGGUAGCUGAAGGAAGUAGGUCACCCGGGUGUGUCCUUGCGGGGUGCUGGGGCCCUGACCCUCCCCUGGCUUGUGUCUCCUGCCUGCCACCAGGUGAGCCGCUCUGUUCCGGCACACACUCCCUCAGGACGUUGGACCUCAUCCCAAGUCCAGAAAUGACCAAGGCAAGUGACCCCUGCUGAGGCUGCAGUGGGCCUCAGCCUGUCCUGUGAGCCGGUUCCCCAGGUGUCGGCGCCGCAAUGGACAGCGGCUGACAGGCGCUGGGGACAAGAUGGCCGGGGAGCCAGGCGAGGAAAGGGGGAGGCAGAAUACUGGACCCCUAGAGAGGCACGCUCUGAGAGUCAGAGAGCUGGUGGCCCCCUCUGGGCUCUCCUUCAGCAAGCCACCUGACCUCUGGGCCUUGGUGGAAGAAGACCUCAUGCUUCCUGGUCAGGAAGAGCUUCUUCCAAGGAGACUCCUUCCCAGCAAGAUGUAUACAGACCCACGCGUGGCCCGCAGCUUCCCCAGGACAAAGGACGGCCCUGGCCCCCUUCCCAUCCUUUGUUGCUCAUUGAUCAAAAGAAACAAAAUCCUCCUCAACCAAA
Long non-coding RNA from Marmota monax (woodchuck), 2501 nucleotides. RefSeq lists it as uncharacterized. Lineage: Eukaryota; Metazoa; Chordata; Mammalia; Rodentia; Sciuridae. The record is from RefSeq and is a predicted model, not a curated record. The transcript is spliced from 2 exons.